Non-coding RNA from Erythranthe guttata (spotted monkey flower), 1145 nucleotides. The record is from RefSeq and is a predicted model, not a curated record. NCBI's taxonomy places the organism in Eukaryota, Viridiplantae, Streptophyta, Magnoliopsida, Lamiales, Phrymaceae.
AUACCAUGUGUGUAGUGAGUGCAUGUGCCGUGUAUGUGCUGCACUAUAUGUGUAUUAAGUUGCCAUGUAUUAAGGGAUUAAUGAAAUCCUUGACUUGCAAAUAUUUGAUUAAUUGCUAUUAGGACCCCAUGGUUUUAGAUAUUGGAUAAUAGCCCUUGGGUAAAUUUCCUCCUACUUUCCAAGCAUAAGUGAUGUAAUGUAAUUAGUAAUUCCUCCCCUUUUCUUCCUACCUUCCUACGGCAAUUGAUAGAACCCCAAUUUCUUCCCAAAAGUCUUCUCCUUCGGGAAGAAGAAAUCAGCAGCUGUCUCUAUCUCUCUCUCCCAUCUAUUUAUAUCUUCAAACACGGCAAAUAAAUCAAUGAUUUGUCAACUAAGAACUUCAGAGAAGCAGCCACGGGAUAACUCCAAGUUCAGGCCCAAAAGCCUUCAGCCAAAGCUUCGAGAAUCCUUCGGUUACCUCUUCUUCCUUGUAUUCGAUUUUCUUCAAAGAGUAUAGGAAGUCAGAAUCUUAAAUGGCUAUCGGUCGAGUAGACACGGAAAUACGGAGGGGCCGGUAUUCCAACUACGGUACUAUAGACUAUAGAGUGGAUAGCUUCCAUUAAUAAACGGGCUCAGAAUAUCGACGUCUAUUACCGAUAACCAUGUUAUGAAUCUGAUAGGUAUCCCGUCAUAUUGCAUUUAUGUGUUAUAUUUGUUAAUACAGACUAUAGGGACUUGAUGUCUAUAUGUACUACAGCUAAGUGGUCGUUGCAUCCCCAUGUUAAUAAACCAUUUUGUUUACGUGAGUACACCUUGUGAGUAUACGUUAAGCAGGGGAAACUCGUCGCCCAUGUCAAGGUUGAGGUUCUCGAAGCUGUUAUGGAAACUGGUGGAGCGGAGUUCGAGGAAUCACGAGCUUUUAUACCGACCGACUAUUUUCAAAGAUUAUAUCAGUCACUUUCUCGUUAAGUGUUUUAACUUGAGAAGUUUAUAGUUGUAUUUAUAAUGUACUCUCCUUAGGAAUCUAGUCUAUUAAACCGGGGUGUAUGUAAAAUAAAGUUAUUUUGUGUUCCGCUGUAUUACAAGUAUUGCUUUAAAACCCCGUCUAUGUUGAAGUAGCACUCUUUAUGAAAAUUAUAUCUUUCAAAUGUGGGUUAUGUUUUGAA